Apus apus (common swift) is the source of this 727-nucleotide long non-coding RNA. RefSeq lists it as uncharacterized. Lineage: Eukaryota; Metazoa; Chordata; Aves; Apodiformes; Apodidae. The transcript has 3 exons. The record is from RefSeq and is a predicted model, not a curated record.
CCAGCUGCAGAGCAGCCAAGACCCGCAGGCAGCUGGAGCCCGACACGCAGCCCAGGCUGGGCCAGGGCAGAGGAGCGCAGGAGCGGCAAAGCCCCGCGUCUGCACGGAGGAGGAGAGACAGAAGCUCUGGGACUCCUUGCGCAAGAAGUACCAGCAGAAGGCAAGGCGAAGGAGGAGAGAGCCAUGGCAGCGCUGAAGGCUGGCAAAGAGCAGGGAGAGCCAUGGCAUGCCCAGAGCAGCCACCUGCCUCCUCCGGAAGGCAGAGGGAAGAGCCCAUUGCCCUGGUGCUGAGGAGGACUCCCUCAGGUAAAGAUCUCUGAAGAUGGCAGGUGUUUGCCCUGCCCGGCAGCGCCCUUCCUUCCUCUGACUCCCCACAGCCCCUGGGCAAAGAGGUCUCCUCCUGACAGCCCUGUGGGUGUGGAGAGCAGCAGGCCGGGCUUGCGGCACAGGGACCGUGGGCCUGCUCUCUCCAGGGGCAGAUCCCACCACGUGUGCUGUGUUGCUAGACCCGCAGUGUUGCUCUGCACCUCUCUGUGCAUCCAAGACUGCAGAGCUUCGUGUGCAGCUCCUCAGCUCUGCGGCGCAGAUCCCGCCCGCGUCGGUGAGUGCCGGGAGAGCCCCUGGGGCACAGAGGCUGCCCAGAGAGAUGUCCAGCAGGAGCCUCCUCCAGCAGGGCUGGGCAGGCAGGCUGUGGGCAGCAGCACUUCCCCCUGUUGAGUAAAGUCUC